UGAGGUAUAGCUCAGUGUUAAAGUGCUUGCCUAGCAUGUGUGAGACCCUGGGUUCAAUUCCCAGCACUGCUA
RNAcentral lists this transfer RNA (72 nucleotides) under Fukomys damarensis (Damara mole-rat). It matches the Rfam family "tRNA". From Rfam's summary of the family: Transfer RNA (tRNA) molecules are approximately 80 nucleotides in length. Their secondary structure includes four short double-helical elements and three loops (D, anti-codon, and T loops). Further hydrogen bonds mediate the characteristic L-shaped molecular structure. tRNAs have two regions of fundamental functional importance: the anti-codon, which is responsible for specific mRNA codon recognition, and the 3' end, to which the tRNAs corresponding amino acid is attached (by aminoacyl-tRNA synthetases). tRNAs cope with the degeneracy of the genetic code in two manners: having more than one tRNA (with a specific anti-codon) for a particular amino acid; and 'wobble' base-pairing, i.e. permitting non-standard base-pairing at the 3rd anti-codon position. The record is from Rfam by way of RNAcentral. Lineage: Eukaryota; Metazoa; Chordata; Mammalia; Rodentia; Bathyergidae.